Molecule: long non-coding RNA, 3616 nt
Filed under: Olea europaea subsp. europaea
Lineage: Eukaryota; Viridiplantae; Streptophyta; Magnoliopsida; Lamiales; Oleaceae
Source: RNAcentral
GACUAUUUUGAGUCAAGCAAUGAAUGAUACAAAUCAUGUUCCGCCUUUGACUAUACUAGUAUCAAACUCUCAUAUCCCAGAUGAGGGAAUAUCGAAAAAGUUUGGAGGUGUUGAUUUCAAAAAAUAGUAAUAAAAGAUGUUGUUCUAUCUUACUACUUUGAAUUUAGCAAAGUUCUUAAAAGAAACCGCAACUAUAAUACAAGAGGGAAAAAAUAAUCGUGAGUCAAUUAUUAAAUUGGAUACAUGGGAACACUCGGAUUUCCUUUGUGAAAACUAAAUUCUAAAUGAAUUGGACAAUACACUUUAUGGAGUGUACAGUUCGAAGGACUUGGUCAAGGAUUUAUGGGAGUUAUUGAAGAAGAAAUACAAAAUUGAAGAUGCCGAGACAAAGAAGUUAAUUGUCAGCAAGUAUUUUGUAAAGGCUCGGAAAACUUUAUAGAAUGAAAUUUAUUUGUUUACACGUUAUAUUUAGAAACGUUGGGGACUAAAAUGAAAUAGAUUUUAAACUCCUAUUUUAUUUAUGUCAAAUAAUUAGAUAUUGAUGGAACGAGAUUUAGUAUAUCAAUAUUGGACUCAUUUUGUAGGUCGUAAUUAAUUAGAAGUCUUCCACUUGAGAAAAACUAAUUUGGAUAUGUUAAGCCUAAGAAAUUGAAGUUUAAAGAAAUUAUCAUUUAUUAGUAUUUUAUUUAAAUUGGAAUUUGCAAGAGAGCCAGCCACAUGCAGUGGUGGAUCCAGCACCUGGCGAGUACAAGCGAUUGCGCUUACUAGAUCCAAAUAAAAAGUUUUUUGUUAACAGUAGAUAAAAAUUUUAGAUUAUAUAUCUGAUAGUUCAUUUUAUUUCUUAACAUGUCUUGUAAUUCAGUUGGUUAGAGCUUCCACAUACAAAUUGAAUGUCCAAGGUUCAAAUACCUUCUAAACCAUAUUAUUGUGCAAGUUUUCUAUUUUUACAAAUUUUUACCAAAACUGAUGCCAAUAAGGAGAAGAUUCGAUCGACCCUGUGACCUUUCUUUAAGAUUUACAAACCUUGACCUUCAUGGCACUUGUUAAGUUGCGGCACGAAAUUUAACGGAGUAAUAUAUAUUCCAUUUUAGUGGUUUUAAUGCAACAACAAGGAUUCGAACCUUUGCUCUUCCUUUGAAUUAUACAAAAUAUGGACACUAUGUCAUUUGGUGAAUAUCAUUAUUAUUUAUAACAAAAUUAUAUAUGUUUAGUUUUAGCAAAAUAAUUAUUAUAUUUAAAUUUUAAUAUUUUAUUACGCUCAAUGAUCGAUGACCACUAGUGCUCACUGAAAAUUCUGGAUUUGCCAUGUGCCACGUAUAGGGAUGUACAGAUUUCGCUAUUAGAUGUUAGUUGUUGGUCAUGAACAGUUGCGGAUGCAGGUGGCCACCCUAGCUGGAUUUGUCGGAACCGUCGAUCGUCGAGCGUCUCUCAGUGGUAAGUCUCAGAUGAUAGAUUUUGCCGCCCUAGCUGGAUUCCUUUGCUGUUGGUGGUUGUGUUGGCUGUUGGAGUAUUGCUGUGUUAGGCCACAUUUUUUAAAAUCAGGCCCAAAUUAAAAAUCCUAAAUCAGCAUUCACCCAUUAUGGACCAUAAGGUCUCUUCCAGUCCACUACAAUUACAACAGAGGGUAGACCGACAGAGGCAAUGGAGUCUCCAGCGACAAGCAACACUUUCCCGAAUCAGUCCUAUUUCUGAUUUCCUUCCCGUUAAUUAAAUCGGUAGCUAGAGAGAUCAGAGAAGAGCAAACCCUUCAUGAGUUCUUCUCCCAAUUCCUUCCCGUUAUUUAAUUUUUCUUACAUUAUUUACAUGUUUUUCCCCCAAUUCCUUUCCCAAAAUCACCAUUCAUUCACCCAUUAUUUACAUGUUUUUUUUCAUGGCAUAUUUAUUAUUUAAUUAUUGGUUUUUUUAGUAGUUUAUUAUGCUCUAUGUUUGAUUUUUAGGGUUUUGAAUUGUUUCGGCUUCGAUUCGAGGCUUAUUGUUUGGGGAUUUUGUUACAAAUUAUUGAAAGUUUUUGUAAUGCCAAAGUGAUCCAGUGCUUAUUAUCAACUCAAAUGACUUUUGAAGCCUUAAAGUGAGUUUCAAUUGAAGAUGAAAGUAGAUCAAAGUUUAAUUAUCUAUUUUAUUUCUACGUUCUUCGCUACUUUUAGAGCAGAAGUUUUGAAAAGUUUGGUUAACUUAGCCUAAUCGAGUGUUGUUUCCGGCAUAAGAGCAUAUCUUAUUACAUGCCACUAGGUCAAACAUUUGAAAAGUACUUGUGAGCUAGUGACAAGGAGAACAUGUUCAGAUGGAAAAUCUUUUUCGUAUGAACUUGAACUUCUUGAAUUUGGCAGUGGAAUGAAUACAUGUUAUUUAUUAUAAUAGUAUAUCUAUUUAAUGUGUCAUUGAGGAUUUUUAUCAAAAUGGGGUGGUCAAUGCUACAUCUAAUUGUACUUGCUUGACUUUCUUUGUAUGUCUGUCAUUUGAUUCAUUUCUUCCGCAUGAGUUUCAAUGGUUGAUCAUAUCUUGACUUUCUAAUUAAAAUUUCACGUGUAAAUAUCUAGCAUCUUAAAAUGUUAAAUGGGCUAGCCUUAAAUGGCUUUUCAACGAUUGACCGCCGAUCGAAUCGAGCUUUUAAUAUCGUUGAUUGUUGACGGUCAACGGUCAAAGUCAACAUCCGCCCUUGCUGAACAUUGAUGUUGGAUUCGCCCCUGGUCAUGAAUCUACUUUUGAUUGUGGUAGGUAUUAAUUAUAUAUUCUAUUCCACUUCAAAUACCACUCAUUUUUUCAUCAGUAGUGUACUUACAAGUUUUUAUUUCCUAGAAUCCAUUUUACUUAAAUGAAGUUUUGCUAGAAACAGAAAAGUCAUAAUUGCAUGCCGUGCUAACCUAUACAUAGUACAUCCAAAUUCCAUGAAGAGUCUAUUCAUAUUUAAUUUCCUUACUUUUACACAACUUUGGACUUCUAACCACACACAAAUUCAUAGAAGUAUAGGUUAUAGUAUUGUAUAUGUAGUCAUGUUAAGUCAAUCAUAUUCACAUAGAAAAGAAAAAGUUAAGCUAGAGAGAAAGAUAAGCAUAGAAAAAUGGGGGGUUUCACGCGUAUUAUUUUGCAUUCUUUUACAACAUUUCAAUAAAAUGAGGUAAGAUACUUUUAUGCAAGUUGUUUUUUUCUAUAUAAUUUUAUAAUUAGAAAUUUAUCCAUGAAUUGCUAAAGGACCUUUGGGUUCUUUAGAAAGAUAUAUGAAAUCUUUCGUGAAUUUAAGGGGUCUAAGAAAAGAGUGAUACGAAGUGUAAAUUUUAUCGUUAUAUAAUUGUCUAUGGAAACUGUACGUAUCUUACUGGGUAUUUUUUAAUACUCACUCUUACAAUAACUUUUCGGGUUAGUUCGAGUCAAUUAGAACUAUGACAAGAUGGUGAUGCAAAUUGCCAAGAGGAUUCGAAAAACGAAAAACAUUAAGUUUUCUAUCUUUCAAUUUAUUAGUUUAGCUUGUUCAAAGACAUGUUAUUUAAUUAGCAAGGAAUUUUUUUUUUGAAAGAUACAAUUUCCAUGUAUUAAUUUAAAUUUGUGAAUUUUUAGUUUUUUUUAAAAAGAAAUUUAUUUUUAUCUUUCCACAUUUAAUACAAAGAAAAGUUAGUUUUUG